RNAcentral lists this ribosomal RNA (87 nucleotides) under Sinocyclocheilus grahami. Lineage: Eukaryota; Metazoa; Chordata; Actinopteri; Cypriniformes; Cyprinidae. The record is from RNAcentral.
UCUCUCAGGAAACUGGUUGCCCACUGAAGCUAAGCAGGGUUGAGCCUCAUCAGUACCUGUAUGGGAGACCUCCUGGGAAAACUAGGU